Molecule: long non-coding RNA, 1354 nt
Filed under: Bemisia tabaci
Lineage: Eukaryota; Metazoa; Arthropoda; Insecta; Hemiptera; Aleyrodidae
Description: lncRNA ENSSSA3NGG005816
Source: RNAcentral
CUCUAUUUUUUCCUCUCUCUCUCUCUCUUUAAAAACAAGAAGAGGGACAGGAAACGAAAAUUGAGGAUGCCAUAGAUGUUACAAGGGAGUUCGUCCAGUGUGUGAGUACCUCGGCAUUGGGGAAAACGUGUCAUGACGUUUGACUUCAAAAAUCUGGGAAAUGCGUUGAAAACUUGCGUGGUUGCGUUUUAGUCAAUUUUUGGCAUUCUUGAGGCCAGAAUCUGAACUCUCUACCUAAGUCUAAAAACGCAAGAAACCAAGAUGACGUGGUCCCUUUUGGAGAUUUUUAUCCUGAUAGCUUAUCUAUCAUCAAUCGCAGAGGUUCACUGUGAUUCGUUAUGCACCGAAGAACACCCGACCAAGCUAAAUGAGGAGAACUGCGAUGUUUACUGCAAUUCUCGGUGGGGUAGAGCCCCCCUGGUGAACAAACCAUGGGCGAUCGGAAAGUGUCUUCAGGAUACAGACAUAAAUCGAACAUAUUGCAAGUGCAGCUUCAAUGAUAAAGACCUUCAACAGUUUUUUUCCUACGAAAUGCUUUGCUACUGGAGCUUAUGCACCAUUGAGCGCCAAAAAAGCGCUGGCCGAGGAGGAAUACCUGAGACAGAUAUCUGAAAUGCAAUUGGAGGAUAAAUUUAAAUUAUACACUGAGGCCUACGGGAAGAGUUACAAGUCAGGAGACGAAAAACGAAAAAGAAUGCAGAUUUUCAAAGAAAAUUUGGUUGUCAUAGAUGAGUUAAAUGAGAAACAUAAGGGCAAAGGCAAUCUCGUUUUCGGAGUCGGUCCUUUCACUGAUCUAACACGUGAAGAAUUCAAAUCGCAGACGGGACUCUUAAGUCACCAAUCUAGCAGUCUCCGGCCUCGAGGACUGCCAUCGUCUGACUCAGCUGGUAUUGGAGGAUCAUCUCAUGGAUCCGCUACCUCACCCAAGAGAGAAAGGAGCUCCUCAUCGCCCAAGAGAGGAAGCAAGUCCACCUCCCCCAAGAGAGUAAGCAGGUCUACCUCCCGGUCGGUGAGUCCUAGAAGGGACAAUCCCUUCGAGGGCGGGUCUACCUCCCGGUCGCAGAGUCCUGGAAAAGAGAAUCCCUCCGAGAGGAGGUCGAGGGGUCGCUUCAAAGAUGAUGCCAGCUCCAGUGGGCACUCAGAUAAAAAAAUGAGAUUAUUAUUAAUUUUACUUCAAUAUACCGCAGUGAUAGCGAAGAGAGCACUAAGUGUCAAAUUUUCGAAAUCGAGUCUCCCUCAAAAUUCGUCUAAUCUCUUUUAGAUGAAAACACUAAAAUAGGUGAACAGCAAAAUUCAUCCUAAUUCUUUAAAAUCGAGACGGAGUCCAGACUCUUGAAAACAUUGACAAGAAAAU